Molecule: ribosomal RNA, 466 nt
Filed under: uncultured bacterium
Lineage: Bacteria
Description: bacterial SSU rRNA
Rfam family: Bacterial small subunit ribosomal RNA
Source: RNAcentral
UGCCAGACUCCUACGGGAGGCAGCAGUGAGGAAUAUUGGUCAAUGGGCGGGAGCCUGAACCAGCCAAGUCGCGUGAGGGAAGACGGUCCUACGGAUUGUAAACCUCUUUUGCCGGGGAGCAACGGGGUCCUUGCGAGGGCCCAAUGAGAGUACCCGGAGAAAAAGCAUCGGCUAACUCCGUGCCAGCAGCCGCGGUAAUACGGAGGAUGCGAGCGUUAUCCGGAUUUAUUGGGUUUAAAGGGUGCGCAGGCGGUCUGUUAAGUCGGCGUUCAAGGCCCGGGACCCAACCCCGGCCCGCGUUGAAACUGGCAGUCUCGAGUUGGAGAGAAGUAUGCGGAAUGCGCGGUGUAGCGGUGAAAUGCAUAGAUAUCGCGCAGAACUCCGAUUGCGAAGGCAGCAUGCCGGCUCCACACUGACGCUGAGGCACGAAAGCGUGGGUAUCGAACAGGAUUAGAUACCCUCGUAA